This 470-nucleotide ribosomal RNA is filed under the name uncultured bacterium. RNAcentral describes it as "bacterial SSU rRNA". It matches the Rfam family "Bacterial small subunit ribosomal RNA", at positions 8 to 526 of the family's 1533-position model. The record is from RNAcentral.
AGAGUUUGAUCCUGGCUCAGAGCGAACGCUGGCGGCAGGCCUAACACAUGCAAGUCGAACGCCCCUUCGGGGGAGUGGCGGACGGGUGAGUAACGCGUGGGAACGUGCCCUUUGGUGCGGAACAACUGAGGGAAACUUCAGCUAAUACCGCAUAAGCCCUACGGGGGAAAGAUUUAUCGCCAUUGGAGCGGCCCGCGUUGGAUUAGGUAGUUGGUGGGGUAAUGGCCCACCAAGCCUACGAUCCAUAGCUGGUCUGAGAGGAUGAUCAGCCACACUGGGACUGAGACACGGCCCAGACUCCUACGGGAGGCAGCAGUGGGGAAUCUUGCGCAAUGGGCGAAAGCCUGACGCAGCCAUGCCGCGUGUAUGAUGAAGGUCUUAGGAUUGUAAAAUACUUUCACCGGGGAAGAUAAUGACGGUACCCGGAGAAGAAGCCCCGGCUAACUUCGUGCCAGCAGCCGCGGUAAUAC